AUUGUUGCAGAAAGCUUGGAGGGAACACCGAACCAAACGAAGGAUGUGUAGAAAAAGAAACGGUGACAAGACCUCCAUGUAUCCUGACAAAAUUCGUCGAGUAGAAAGUCUUUGGAGUGUUGAUGAUCGUGAUUUUAAGUACCUGGUGAAGGUUCAAAAACUUGGGGAAGGAGGGUUUGGCGAGGUCUCGCAAUAUUACUGCCGACAAACGCAGGCACAUUACGCAGUUAAAACCUUUUUCAAGAAGAAUGCUGAACAUGCCUCAAUGACAUUGAAAGAAACGCUCAUUCUCCUUCGCUUGGUUGGGAACUCCAGCAUAACUCUGUUAUGCCGGGCGUUUACC
Long non-coding RNA from Stylophora pistillata, 343 nucleotides. Lineage: Eukaryota; Metazoa; Cnidaria; Anthozoa; Scleractinia; Pocilloporidae. The record is from RefSeq and is a predicted model, not a curated record.